This 1803-nucleotide ribosomal RNA is filed under the name Vibrio cholerae. Its description in RNAcentral is "partial 23S ribosomal RNA". It matches the Rfam family "Bacterial large subunit ribosomal RNA", at positions 419 to 2213 of the family's 2925-position model. The record is from RNAcentral. Lineage: Bacteria; Pseudomonadati; Pseudomonadota; Gammaproteobacteria; Vibrionales; Vibrionaceae.
GGGACACGUGAUAUCCUGUCUGAAUAUGGGGGGACCAUCCUCCAAGGCUAAAUACUCCUGACUGACCGAUAGUGAACCAGUACCGUGAGGGAAAGGCGAAAAGAACCCCUGUGAGGGGAGUGAAAUAGAACCUGAAACCGUGUACGUACAAGCAGUAGGAGCACCUUCGUGGUGUGACUGCGUACCUUUUGUAUAAUGGGUCAGCGACUUAUAUUCAGUGGCAAGGUUAACCGUAUAGGGGAGCCGUAGCGAAAGCGAGUCUUAACUGGGCGCUCAGUCUCUGGAUAUAGACCCGAAACCGGGUGAUCUAGCCAUGGGCAGGUUGAAGGUUGAGUAACAUCAACUGGAGGACCGAACCGACUAAUGUUGAAAAAUUAGCGGAUGACUUGUGGCUAGGGGUGAAAGGCCAAUCAAACUCGGAGAUAGCUGGUUCUCCCCGAAAGCUAUUUAGGUAGCGCCUCGGACGAAUACUACUGGGGGUAGAGCACUGUUAAGGCUAGGGGGUCAUCCCGACUUACCAACCCUUUGCAAACUCCGAAUACCAGUAAGUACUAUCCGGGAGACACACGGCGGGUGCUAACGUCCGUCGUGGAGAGGGAAACAACCCAGACCGCCAGCUAAGGUCCCAAAGUAUUGCUAAGUGGGAAACGAUGUGGGAAGGCUCAGACAGCUAGGAUGUUGGCUUAGAAGCAGCCAUCAUUUAAAGAAAGCGUAAUAGCUCACUAGUCGAGUCGGCCUGCGCGGAAGAUGUAACGGGGCUAAGCAAUACACCGAAGCUGCGGCAAUGUCUUUUAGACAUUGGGUAGGGGAGCGUUCUGUAAGCCGUUGAAGGUGAAUCGUAAGGUUUGCUGGAGGUAUCAGAAGUGCGAAUGCUGACAUGAGUAACGACAAAGGGGGUGAAAAACCUCCUCGCCGGAAGACCAAGGGUUCCUGUCCAACGUUAAUCGGGGCAGGGUGAGUCGACCCCUAAGGUGAGGCCGAAAGGCGUAAUCGAUGGGAAACGGGUUAAUAUUCCCGUACUUCUGACUAUUGCGAUGGGGGGACGGAGAAGGCUAGGUGGGCCAGGCGACGGUUGUCCUGGUUCAAGUGCGUAGGCUUGAGAGUUAGGUAAAUCCGGCUCUCUCUAAGGCUGAGACACGACGUCGAGCUACUACGGUAGUGAAGUCAUUGAUGCCAUGCUUCCAGGAAAAGCCUCUAAGCUUCAGAUAGUCAGGAAUCGUACCCCAAACCGACACAGGUGGUCGGGUAGAGAAUACCAAGGCGCUUGAGAGAACUCGGGUGAAGGAACUAGGCAAAAUGGUACCGUAACUUCGGGAGAAGGUACGCUCUUGAUGGUGAAGUCCCUCGCGGAUGGAGCUGACGAGAGUCGCAGAUACCAGGUGGCUGCAACUGUUUAUUAAAAACACAGCACUGUGCAAAAUCGCAAGAUGACGUAUACGGUGUGACGCCUGCCCGGUGCCGGAAGGUUAAUUGAUGGGGUUAGCGCAAGCGAAGCUCUUGAUCGAAGCCCCGGUAAACGGCGGCCGUAACUAUAACGGUCCUAAGGUAGCGAAAUUCCUUGUCGGGUAAGUUCCGACCUGCACGAAUGGCGUAAUGAUGGCCACGCUGUCUCCACCCGAGACUCAGUGAAAUUGAAAUCGCUGUGAAGAUGCAGUGUACCCGCGGCUAGACGGAAAGACCCCGUGAACCUUUACUACAGCUUGGCACUGAACAUUGAACCUACAUGUGUAGGAUAGGUGGGAGGCUAUGAAGACGUGACGCCAGUUGCGUUGGAGCCGUCCUUGAAAUACCACCCUUGUAUGU